UGUACAGGUCCCCAUGUAAACGCAGUUUUUGCAGAUUUUGAAGUAACACUGAACCGAGUGUGUGACACAGGACAGUACCCGUUAGCAUUAAAUGACGAAUCUCAAAAGCCAUGCAUGCCCUCAUGAACAUCAAACGCCAGGCAUUCGAGAAAGAGAGAGAGAUGUGUGUGUAGUGUGUGACUUCGCAAGCAGCAAGUGAUGCAGCGGUUACGAUACGAGGGAAGUCUCGCAAUUAAGCAAAACCUGGACCACAUCUAUGUAGAUUAGGUGUGCAAGUACGUUGAUUUCGUCUACGGCAUACACCACUUCAUG
Long non-coding RNA from Ornithodoros turicata, 312 nucleotides. RefSeq lists it as uncharacterized. The transcript is spliced from 3 exons. The record is from RefSeq and is a predicted model, not a curated record. Lineage: Eukaryota; Metazoa; Arthropoda; Arachnida; Ixodida; Argasidae.